This is a regulatory RNA element of Tropilaelaps mercedesae, 47 nucleotides long. It matches the Rfam family "Histone 3' UTR stem-loop". Rfam says of the family: The mRNAs of metazoan histone genes lack a poly-A tail. 3' end processing occurs at a site between a highly conserved stem-loop (modelled by this family) and a purine rich region around 20 nts downstream (the histone downstream element, or HDE). Lineage: Eukaryota; Metazoa; Arthropoda; Arachnida; Mesostigmata; Laelapidae. The record is from Rfam.
AAAACGGCCCUUUUUAGGGCCACCACAUUUUAAAUGAUCAACACUUU